GAUGAACCGGGCAAGCUCGGGACGGUCGCCCGCCUGCAAGCCUCUGGGGCCUCACAUUAGAAGUUUCUCUGGGUCUCCCAUGAUGCCUAGCGUAAAGCUGUUGCAGAUUCAAUCUGUUGGCUGAAUAAAGAAGCUUUGUUCUUUUGGACAUUCCAGCACAAGAAUGUUCAGAAAUGGUUCUCAGUUAAAAGACUUUUUUGCCCAGGAAAGGGCAAACCCUACCACCACCUGGAAGGGUAGCAGGAGCCAGGUGUCUGCAAAGACAAAGACUCCCGUUUGCUCCUCAUUGGGAAAUGCAGGUGGACGGGGCCGUCCUGGGUUUCUCAGUGAGUGUUGAUAACUGCCCCUGGCAUCACGUCUGCAUCCACCGACCUCCACCUCUGGUUGUACCACCAAAACAUUGGCUCCGUUUUUCACUUGGAGACCUCAUAAUACCUGGUGGGAGAGCAAGAUCCUGACACCGUUUUCACUAAGGUGCCCUUCUCAGACCUGCUGCCUGCCCGAGGACUCAAGCUUCCUAUGAUGUUGAUAUCAAUCAUCUACGUGGGGAUGAAUAUUUACCUCGUUGGAAGCUGAUAUCCUCAACUCUUCUCAUAAAACAGGAAAAAGCCUUUCAGAAGGGUUGUCCAGAAAGCCAAGAAAAAGCAUCAGCGAUUUGCUGCUCAGGCCUCUGAAACCUUUGCGGUUGGAUGUGACCAUAUUCCCACAUUCGCGAUGCCCGGAUGUCCACAUUCGCGAUGCCCGGAUGUCCACAUUCGCGAUGCCCGGAUGUUCUGCCACAUUCGCGAUGCCCGGAUGUUCUGCGUGCGUGGGUAGGAUCACUCCACGACUCAUCUGGGUCCUCUGGAAGCCAUUUCAACCACAGAGCCACAUAUUUUGGGGGAUGUUAAAAAUUCUCAACUGGAAAUGAAUUUUUUAUAUCACAUUAAAAAAAAUUGUGACAAACAUAUAUAACAAAAUCGACGGAUUUAACUAUUUCUAAGUGUACAGUUCACUGGCAUUAAGUACAUUUACGUUAUCGUGCAACUAUCACCCCCAUCUAUCUCCAAAUUUUUUUCGUCUUCCCAAACUAAACCCCUGCAUGCGUUGAAUACUAGCUCCUUUCGCCGCCCGCCCCAGCUCCUGGCAACCCCUGUUCUACUUUUGCUCUGUGAAUCUGAUCACUCUAGGUGCCUCUUAUAAGUGGAACCAUAUGGUAUUUGUCCUUUUGUGUCUGGCUUGUGUCACUGAGCAUGAUGUCCUCUAGGUUCCUCCCUGUUGCAGCAUGGGACAGAAUUUCCUUCCUUUUUUGAGGCUGAAUAAUGUUCUACCAUACGGAAGAAGGUACAGACCACCUUUCAUUUAUCUGCUCAUCCCAAAAUUGUCUAAGGUGAUGGACAUUUGGGUUGUUUCCACCUGGAAGUAGCUUUUGAAAUGUUUUAGCUGAGAGCAAAUAUUGGUCGUUGACUCCUAGAGACAACUGUUUUACGUUUGCCUGUGGGACCGUCAUGUGCAUUCUGAUAGCAUUGCUGUUUUAUAGCUCUAGGGCCAAAUGCUGCAUAUAGGAUAGUAGUCGGGUUACUCAUGUCUAAGCAUCAAAUCUAGACCUAAACCAAGUCAGGUGUAAAAUAUGCUAUUGGCAUCGAUUCUGCCAUUUUAAUACACUUGAUUUCCAAAUAUAUAACAUAAUAGUUUCAGCCUAUAGUAACCCACCCUCAGCCAAUUCCUAGGACGUAAAGUUUAAGGCAAAACUAUGAUUAAGUUUAAGUUUAAGGAAAAACUAUGAUUUUGCCUUAAAAGAUUAAGGCAAAACUAUGAUCAUUAUGUAGGAUCAUGUAACCUUGAAGUUUGCGUGGUUUUAAUGUAGACCUUGAUGCCAUGACACCAUUUGGCCACAGUCACAGCACAAGGAGAACUCACUUCGGUCAAGAGCAAAUUUGGCAAGUUUGUUCUAACACAACAGAGGAUGUGAAGGGGUCAGGUAAUUAAACCCAGGGCUGACGCAGACAGGCAGGACAUGUCAGAGGUAGCAAACUGUCAACAUUUUUGCAGAGGUGGGGAAAGGAAACAAUUUCUAGCAAAUUACUCUUCCUGUCAAAAGGAGCAAGCUUAGACAUUCACAGUCUUCUUUUAGGAAUUUUGGGAAACACAGAGAUUGCAGGCGGAGGUAUUUAGAGGGAGAGGGACAGAAAGCCACAGUCCUGUAGGAGAAAAACCCAGUCCUGGGGUGAUACAUUAUUGGCAACUGGGCAUUGGACAGAGAGCACUGAAAGAAAAGCAAUCACAGUCGAUGCAGGCUCUUUGAAAUCUGAGGCCAAGAGACAGAUAUUUUCUGAAAUUAAUAAUAAUGACACUGGUAUCAGGAAGUAACCAUUCCGGCACAGAAUGGCAUGGAACAAGAACAGCCUGAGACACAGAGAUCAGCAGAGCCUGGAUAAUGUGAACAGAAAAUAAGUUCCUGCAGGACCAGACGAAGGCAUCUGACAAAGGGUUUGCACGAGUCCCUUCGUGAGAGGAGAUUGGAAAUUAAUAUCAGAACCCUGCUAUAUAUUUCCUAUUGCUCUUGUUUGUAGAAUUAUGUUUAACUGUAUAAUAAAGUAUAUGUAGUCAUCAUUCCAUGGUGCAGAGUCAUGGAUUUGCAACCAGUGUUUCUGUUGUUUUCAUAAUGCCCUGAGUCAGAGAGGCUCUCAAGGGUUCUCAUAGACUGAUCUAUGCACCAGCUGGAGCCUUCACUUUUUUUUUUUUUUUGAGACAGAGUCUCACUUUGUUGCCCAGGCUAAAGUGAGUGCCGUGCGUCAGCCUAGCUCACCGACCUCAAUACCCU
RNAcentral lists this long non-coding RNA (2803 nucleotides) under Microcebus murinus (gray mouse lemur). RNAcentral's name for it is "lncRNA (ENSMICG00000048651.1)". Lineage: Eukaryota; Metazoa; Chordata; Mammalia; Primates; Cheirogaleidae. The record is from RNAcentral.